GCGGGACAGGAAGAUGCAGAAUGGCGUGAUGCUUGCCAUGGCCAUGGUGGCAUGCAGGGACCAUGCCCAGACCAUGGGGAGGCUCCGAGGCGAACUCCAGGAGCUAACUGUAGCAGCUAAAGACUUGGUGAAUGCCAUAGCCCCCGUGGAAGAAGGCGCAGGGCCGCAAUCACUGGUCGAGCGAUUGAAGGCUGCCUCGAGUAAAGUGGCGGGACUCUGCAAAGCUGUUUGCAAACAGGUCCUUGCAGUCGUGAAGUCCUACUACCCGAGGGCAGACUUGGCGGCAACUAGUGACGGUGUGGCUCGCAACUG
This 312-nucleotide long non-coding RNA is filed under the name Setaria italica (foxtail millet). RNAcentral describes it as "long non-coding RNA (SITA_LNC001998)". The record is from RNAcentral. Lineage: Eukaryota; Viridiplantae; Streptophyta; Magnoliopsida; Poales; Poaceae.